UACGGAGGGGGCUAGCGUUGUUCGGAAUUACUGGGCGUAAAGCGCACGUAGGCGGCUUUGUAAGUUAGAGGUGAAAGCCCGGGGCUCAACUCCGGAAUUGCCUUUAAGACUGCAUCGCUAGAAUUGUGGAGAGGUAAGUGGAAUUCCGAGUGUAGAGGUGAAAAUUCGUAGAUAUUCGGAAGAACACCAGUGGCGAAGGCGACUUACUGGGACACAUAUUGACGCUGAGGUGCGAAAGCGUGGGGAGCAAACAGG
RNAcentral lists this ribosomal RNA (255 nucleotides) under uncultured bacterium. RNAcentral's name for it is "partial 16S ribosomal RNA". It matches the Rfam family "Bacterial small subunit ribosomal RNA", at positions 524 to 776 of the family's 1533-position model. The record is from RNAcentral.